RNAcentral lists this ribosomal RNA (496 nucleotides) under uncultured bacterium. Its description in RNAcentral is "partial 16S ribosomal RNA". It matches the Rfam family "Bacterial small subunit ribosomal RNA", at positions 28 to 507 of the family's 1533-position model. The record is from RNAcentral.
GAUGAACGCUGGCGGCGUGCCUAAUACAUGCAAGUCGAGCGAACAGACGAGGAGCUUGCUCCUCUGACGUUAGCGGCGGACGGGUGAGUAACACGUGGAUAACCUACCUAUAAGACUGGGAUAACUUCGGGAAACCGGAGCUAAUACCGGAUAAUAUAUUGAACCGCAUGGUUCAAUAGUGAAAGACGGUUUUGCUGUCACUUAUAGAUGGAUCCGCGCCGCAUUAGCUAGUUGGUAAGGUAACGGCUUACCAAGGCAACGAUGCGUAGCCGACCUGAGAGGUGGUUCGGCCCCCCGGAACUGAGACACCGGCCAGACUCCUACGGGAGGCAGCAGUAGGGAAUCUUCCGCAAUGGGCGAAAGCCUGACGGAGCAACGCCGCGUGAGUGAUGAAGGUCUUCGGAUCGUAAAACUCUGUUAUUAGGGAAGAACAAAUGUGUAAGUAACUAUGCACGUCUUGACGGUACCUAAUCAGAAAGCCACGGCUAACUACGUG